UACAGAGGUCUCAAGCGUUGUUCGGAUUCAUUGGGCGUAAAGGGCUCGUAGGUGGCCAACUAAGUCAGACGUGAAAUCCCUCGGCUUAACCGGGGAACUGCGUCUGAUACUGGAUGGCUUGAGUUUGGGAGAGGGAUGCGGAAUUCCAGGUGUAGCGGUGAAAUGCGUAGAUAUCUGGAGGAACACCGGUGGCGAAGGCGGCAUCCUGGACCAACACUGACGCUGAGUGAGCGAAAGCCAGGGGAGCAAACGGG
Molecule: ribosomal RNA, 254 nt
Filed under: uncultured bacterium
Lineage: Bacteria
Description: partial 16S ribosomal RNA
Rfam family: Bacterial small subunit ribosomal RNA
Source: RNAcentral